Mesocricetus auratus (golden hamster) is the source of this 278-nucleotide unclassified non-coding RNA. Its record names the gene 7SK. It matches the Rfam family "7SK RNA". Rfam says of the family: 7SK was discovered as an abundant small nuclear RNA in the mid-70s but a possible function has only recently been suggested. The record is from Ensembl. Lineage: Eukaryota; Metazoa; Chordata; Mammalia; Rodentia; Cricetidae.
GGAUGUGAGGGCGAUCUGGGCGAUCUGGCUGUGACAUCUGUCACCCCAUUGAUCGCCAGGGUUGAUUCAGCUGAUAUGGCUGGCUAGGUCCCCUUCCUCCCUCACCACUCCAUGAGUGUCCCUCCUGAAGCUGUGUACUCAGUGGAAGAGGAAGACCUUCCCUGAAUAAAAAAUGAUUUCUUUAUUUUAUGUACAUUGGUUUGCCUAUAUGAGGUUUUUGGACCUCUUGGAACUGGAGUUAUAGACAAUUUUGAGCUGCCAUGUGGGUGCUGGGAAUU